UUACCAUCCCCUUCUUCACUCACUGCCGCUCUCUGAUGCACGAUACACGAUUGAUGAAGGCUCGUUCUCUGAUCUCCCUCGCUCGUCUCGUCCUCCGCUAGCUACUGCUGCUUUCGACCUCCACCACCGCUUCCUCAGAUCUCAGAACACCACAGCCAACUGCUCCUUCACGUUGCCGAUCUCGAUGUCACCGUCGACUGCUCCUUCUCGCCGCUGCUACGCAGAUCCUCUCCUCCCACAGCAUUACCAUUGCCUCCACCUCCUCCAUUCCAUAUUGUUUGGCCUUGGCUGUUGGAUGCGGCAAUAAUGCACGAGAAAUUUCUAACGUUUUCUGCUACAUGUUCACGAUCUUUGCUGCAGUGUUGAAUUUUGAGCCAUCGUUUUAUUCUCUGGGGAGUGGUGUGUUUUGGAAUCGCAUAUUAUGUACAAGGAGUUGUGACCAGGGAACGUGGACCAGUUUUUGUGACUUCUUUCAGUCCUCUAAUUAUGAUUAUCACUGCUGUAUUGGGUACCAUUGUCUUGGCUGAGCAAAUUCAUCUUGGAAGGUACUCUUAAUUUUAGUUUCUCAAGAAAGCAGAAACCAGCUUCUCUAUUUCCAUGGCUCCACCCAGAACUAGCAAGGCUUCUCUCAAUGACUAAUGGUGAUCCUCAUAAUCAAUCUAGCACAACUGUGUUAAAGGGAACUAUUGGAUAUGCUCCUCCAGAUUUGUCGCCGCUCAUCUCAUCGCCAUCAUUCAUCUCUGCACCAUCGCAAGCAACACCGUUGUCGUUGCCUUCUAUGAUCUGAUUUUCAAUCUGGCUCACCUCCUCACCUCGGCAAGCAAUGCCGUUGUUGCUGCCUUCAGCAAGCUUCUACAAUUUGGUUUCACCAUCUCAGUCACUUCUAAUAGCUAAUCUACUUAAUCUUCUUCUUUGAUUUUUUCCUUCCUCUUCAUCCUUUUAGAUCUAGUUCAUGCUCUAGUAGGAAGAAACAAAGAAUGCUGGUUCUUUUGUGUAUUUUAAUUUUCAUUGAUCUUUUGUGAUGUUGCUGUUGUAUUAUAUAGAUGAUGAUUGAGCAUAUAUGUGAAUGCUUUUUUGGAUCUAUAUAGUCUUUUUGUAAUUAUAUACUACUUUGAGAAGGUUCUUUCUCUUUAUUGCUUAGGUUUCUGGUGGUCUCAUUCAUAGUUGACCUUGAAUUGUUCAUUAUGGUAAAUUAUUAGGUGCUUAUGCAUUGUCAUUUGCUUGCAGGAAAAGGAAGCGUCCUUGAUUUUGAGUAUAGAUGCCUUUUGUAAAUUAGUAAAGCAGCAUGCUAAUGUAGCUCAGUUAGGUACCAUGUAAAUGACCCCAAGGUCCGCAACCUGUUGCUGGGGGGCCAGAGAAUUAUAUGGAGGUUUGUCGAUCUCAUGAAGCUAUUUCUUGAUUGAAUCUGUCAGUCAGAAUUUUGGGGGUCCAAUUCUGUUAGCGCUCAGAUAUUGUUAGCUUGAUACAUCAAAGUUCCCAUCGUCCAUAAAAGCAUCAAAAUUAGCGAAGUACGAGUUCACUCCAACUAAAGGAUCUCUGACAUCUGGAAAACAAAAUAGUCAUCAAAUUGAUACUCCUGCUCAGCCCCAAACUCAAGUUGACAUGAAUCUUUCAGCAAAGUUAUACUCAGUACUGCAGUUGCUGCGGGCAACUAUUCUUGGUGAAUCUGGAGACAAUGUCUUGGCUCACCACGUAUUCUGUAAUUCUCUGUUGCAGCUGAUGAGCAAGAAAGUACUAAGAACAAAGGAAGAACUCCUUGAACUCAAUGGCAUGAGCAAGUAAGUUCAUUCUACGAAUUAAUCAAAUGUACUGGUUAACUGAGUCGGCAUUCAC
Non-coding RNA from Arachis ipaensis, 1833 nucleotides. The record is from RefSeq and is a predicted model, not a curated record. Lineage: Eukaryota; Viridiplantae; Streptophyta; Magnoliopsida; Fabales; Fabaceae.